GAGUAACACGUAUUCAACCUUCCGAUAACUCGGGGAUAGCCUUUCGAAAGAAAGAUUAAUACUCGAUAGUAUAUUUUCUUCGCAUGUUGAAAAUAUUAAAGAAUUUCGGUUAUCGAUGGGAAUGCGUUCCAUUAGGCAGUUGGCGGGGUAACGGCCCACCAAACCUACGAUGGAUAGGGGUUCUGAGAGGAAGGUCCCCCACAUUGGAACUGAGACACGGUCCAAACUCCUACGGGAGGCAGCAGUGAGGAAUAUUGGUCAAUGGACGCAAGUCUGAACCAGCCAAGUAGCGUGAAGGAUGACUGCCCUAUGGGUUGUAAACUUCUUUUAUAUGGGAAUAAAGUGAUCCACGUGUGGAUUUUUGUAUGUACCAUAUGAAUAAGGAUCGGCUAACUCCGUGCCAGCAGCCGCGGUAAUACGGAGGAUCCAAGCGUUAUCCGGAUUUAUUGGGUUUAAAGGGAGCGUAGGUGGAAGCCUAAGUCAGUUGUGAAAGUUUGCGGCUCAACCGUAAAAUUGCAGUUGAUACUGGGUUUCUUGAGUACAGUAGAGGUGGGCGGAAUUCGUGGUGUAGCGGUGAAAUGCUUAGAUAUCACGAAGAACUCCAAUUGCGAAGGCAGCUGACUAGACUGUUACUGACACUGAUGCUCGAAAGUGUGGGUAUCAAACAGGAUUAGAUACCCUGGUAGUCCACACAGUAAACGAUGAAUACUCGCUGUUUGCGAUAUAC
Molecule: ribosomal RNA, 727 nt
Filed under: uncultured bacterium
Lineage: Bacteria
Description: bacterial SSU rRNA
Rfam family: Bacterial small subunit ribosomal RNA
Source: RNAcentral